CCUAACCCCACUCUAUCCUAACCCUAACCUAUUCCUAACCCUAACAUAUCCCUAACCCCACUCUAUCCUAACCCUAACCUAUCCCUAACCCUAACUCCACUGUAGCCUAACCCUAACCUAUCGUAACCCGUAUCUAACCUAACCCUAACCAACACCCACUGUCUGGUAAUGAUUGUUGAUAAGACAAUAGAAGGUUUCGUUGUGGUGACUGUGCCUCAUUUGGUCAAAAAUCCCUGAUAUAAAUUCCUGGUAAAUAUGUGAUAUAUUCCUAUUGGUCAAUGGGCUCUCCAGACUGAACAAUAGGCUGGUUUUAGAGGUUAUCACGUAUUACUAGAUAAUUACUGCAACUAUUAGCAACAUAUUAUAACUUGUUUAUCAUCAGAAUGUAUUUCUUUCCAAUAAGUGAUAUAUUCUGAUAUAGUCUUUAUUUUAGAGGUAGGAUACCAAGAUUAUACUACACUGGUAUUUAGAGGUAGGAUACCACGAUUAUACUACACUGGUAUUUAGAGGUAGGAUACCUUCAUUAUACUAUUCUACUAUUGUUAUGACUUGUUAAAUGAUCAGGUUGACUUCCCGUACUUUGGCAUGCUGCUGCGGUUACAGACAGACAACCCUGAGACUGAAACAGUUUCCUUGUGUUAAUCGGUAUUGUUAGUCGUCAACAGUAUCUAUGUCAAACCCCGGGUUAAGACCGGCAGGAGGCUGCCAGGCCCCAUCUGUUCCCCCAGCUGCAGGCGUGGCUGGGCCCGGGAUUGGAGAACAGGAGAGACGGGAAUAAGGG
Molecule: long non-coding RNA, 781 nt
Organism: Oncorhynchus tshawytscha (Chinook salmon)
Lineage: Eukaryota; Metazoa; Chordata; Actinopteri; Salmoniformes; Salmonidae
Source: Ensembl